UGGACCUACGGGGGGCAGCAGUGGGGAAUAUUGGGCAAUGGGCGCAAGCCUGACCCAGCAACGCCGCGUGAAGGAAGAAGGCUUUCGGGUUGUAAACUUCUUUUCUGGGGGACGAACAAAUGACGGUACCCCAGGAAUAAGCCACGGCUAACUACGUGCCAGCAGCCGCGGUAAUACGUAGGUGGCAAGCGUUAUCCGGAUUUAUUGGGUUUAAAGGGUGCGUAGGCGGGCUUUUAAGUCAGCGGUAAAAAUUCGGGGCUCAACCCCGUCCGGUCGUUGAAACUGGGGGCCUUGAGUGGGCGAGA
Molecule: ribosomal RNA, 305 nt
Filed under: uncultured bacterium
Lineage: Bacteria
Description: bacterial SSU rRNA
Rfam family: Bacterial small subunit ribosomal RNA
Source: RNAcentral